GAUGCCCAGUUCUGAUUUUAAUACUUUGAAAUUUGUCAUCUGCAGCUUUGUCUGGGAACAAGUUCACUGUUUAAUCACUCAUGGUCUGCAAAAGGGUAAAUUCAGGGAUUACCUCCAAGAUUUCAAUAAUGCCUUCCAUAAAGGAUAAAAAUAGAGAUGGCUAUGUAAAAAUGUGUGGCCUGCACAAGACAUUACAAGAAUUCAAGCCUUAUCUUGAUGAUAAUGAUUUCAGCAGUUUUCUAAACAGCUUAGGAAUCAGCAUUCAUGACAGCAAGCUCUCUUAUUUUGAUUUCCUGAGAGCAAUUGAGGAUGGCAGAGCAUCUGAAUACCAGCAGAAACAAAAGCAGGCUGUACCACCUGCAAGCUUUGCAGAGCUCAGCGUACAACAAACCCUAAUAAAGAUAAAGGAAACAGUUACAUCAUCUUAGGAUUUGUUGUAUAAGGCAUUUUCUCUGUUGGAGAAAGAUAACAGUGGAGUAAGUAAGAACUGAAAUUUCAUCAAGUACUUGGCCAUUUCCCCUUUAAAUGAUGAGACAAACAGUUCAGGCACCUUCUCAAGAACCCCAGCUUUUGUGAGUAUUUCACAGUACACUGGGAAGUAUUCUGGGAAAUAUAAACUGCCUCAGACAUCAGAAGAGCCACCAAGCUAUAAUACAUUUCUUUAAAAGAUAGGAUUGGAUGUGUUAGCAAUGACUGAGUAAGCAUGUGAUUCACAUAUUUUCAAAAAGUCACACAUAUUUCUGUUGGCUUCUAUUUAACUCCACAAAUUCCUUACCCUCUUUCAAACUGCUCUAAUAAGUUAACUUGUACACUCACUUAGAUUUUGGUUUGGACAUGUAGCAAGCUGGAAGCAUGACCAUGGAUGCAGCCCAAUUGCUUCAUGUGGGUGAUUCAGGAUAUGGACUGUCCAAGUAUGUCAAAUGAUCCCUGAUGGACUGGAAGGAGCAUACAGAAAAAUGAAUGGAGUGGGAAUCUCACCAGGUUCUUGGUGCCAAACUAGAAUAGCAGAGUAGGUGUAGGAGGAAGGUCAAAUACAGAGAUUAAUCAAGUACAGAGAAAAUCUUGGCUGUAGUUAUGGACAGGGUCUUUUGAUGUACUGAAUAUGAGAGUUACAGCAACUCAGAUUAAACCAGAUUUGCUGUUUCUCUGCAGAGGUCAGUGCCAAGAGUGUCUCACUUGGUGCAGAUUGCAGGAGCAGAUCACUCAGUUCAUAAUCAUGUCCUGUCAGUGCAGCCAUCCUUACCAUGUUUGCAAAUAGGAGGAACAUUAUUAAAAGUGUAAACCAAAGAAGUCUGUGUGCUGCUAAUUUUCACUGUCCUUUCUUCUGUCUUCUCCCCUCUCUGUAGCAGCAGCUCUCUGACCACAGAAAGCAAUGCACAACUUCCCCAGGCACUGUCCUGGAAAAGGCUGUGAGAAGAUCAGAGAAAAGAAUGACAAACAAUUGUUAUCUUCACUUGCUGCACCUGUUGUUGUGAACAUGUGGAAUGUGUUAAGGAGAUCUGCCGCACCAAAGGGUGGUUUCUGAAUUGGCCAGUGGUGAUGGUGUUUAGAUUGAUGGAACAAUUGGGUCCACCUGUAUUGUGGCUGUCUGUAAGGGCAAUGGGUUUCUUAAUAAGUGUAGUGUAAUAAAGUGAUUGAUCAGCCUUUGGAGAAUCA
Molecule: long non-coding RNA, 1656 nt
Organism: Zonotrichia albicollis (white-throated sparrow)
Lineage: Eukaryota; Metazoa; Chordata; Aves; Passeriformes; Passerellidae
Source: Ensembl